UGCUGAGUGGACGAAUAGCAAGUCGCAUAACUCUGAAUUAUGAAGUUGUAGGUGCGAAUCCUACCUCGGCAU
This 72-nucleotide transfer RNA is filed under the name Coleofasciculus sp. FACHB-1120. RNAcentral describes it as "tRNA-Gln". It matches the Rfam family "tRNA". Rfam says of the family: Transfer RNA (tRNA) molecules are approximately 80 nucleotides in length. Their secondary structure includes four short double-helical elements and three loops (D, anti-codon, and T loops). The record is from RNAcentral. Lineage: Bacteria; Bacillati; Cyanobacteriota; Cyanophyceae; Coleofasciculales; Coleofasciculaceae.